Molecule: long non-coding RNA, 254 nt
Filed under: Erythranthe guttata (spotted monkey flower)
Lineage: Eukaryota; Viridiplantae; Streptophyta; Magnoliopsida; Lamiales; Phrymaceae
Description: long non-coding RNA (EGUT_LNC000750)
Source: RNAcentral
ACGAAACGGCGUCGUUCCUGUCCUUCCUUCCAAUCAUCUUCUUCAAUUCUUUUCUUUUCGCUUUAUUUUUCAAGCAGCUCGACCAUGUCCUGUGUGCUUUAUUUUCUCUUUUCUUUUAAUCAGUUUGCUGGAAAACGACGUCGUUGAACGCCCGAGCCUAACUAUGGCCAACAAUUGUUGACCCCCAAUUAACAUAUGUUAGAUAUAUAUAUAUAUAUAUAUAUAUAUAUAUAUAUAUAUAUAUAUAUAUAUAU